Molecule: long non-coding RNA, 763 nt
Filed under: Mus musculus (house mouse)
Lineage: Eukaryota; Metazoa; Chordata; Mammalia; Rodentia; Muridae
Description: RIKEN cDNA 1600002D24 gene
Source: RNAcentral
ACAAGUACCUGAUUUCACUCUAAACUCAGUGGCUUGCUUCUCCCUCUGGUUCUGGGCACAAAGGGCAGCCACUCCAUACUCUUUGAUCCAGUUGCACAGGAUAGGAGUCUGCUCAAGCUUUUAAUUAACCUUUAUGACAUGCAUGGUCUCCUGGAAGAGCGGAAGCUCAUGAUGAUGUUUACAGCUUCCAAUCUAUCAGGGUGAAGGCGGGAAGCCCUCACGGCCUUCCAGACCUGCCACUGCUUUUUGCCAUGAUGUGCUCACCAAGGCUCAUGCAUCUGACACUUGCUCUUAAGCACGGUGGUUUGAGGGCGUCUAAGAAGCUCGGAAGGUCCUGUUCACACAACAGCAGAGAGGCCCGGCACACUGAAAAUUCAUGGCUUCAGCUAAUCAAAGAACUGAGGUCAUAAGACAAAACACUACCCCACUCCUGAAGUUAGAGAGUCAGCUAGGAAGACAAAGAGAACUCCAAGUUAUGGGAGCAGAAACCCAAGACCAGCAGUCUCCAUGGUAACGAUUGCUGGGUUUCUUUGACCCAGUACAGUAUGCUUGGCUUUCAACAAAAAGUACAAGCACUGACCUCUGGUCAUGAUGACUCAUCAGCCCUCCGAGCAGCUGUGAGGAGAGUUACCUCCAACACAGACAAUGGAGGGAAGCUGGUGCAGUGUGACCAGCUGCCUCACACCUCUGGUGUCAUGGCUUCCAAAUAUGAUGGACUGUACCUUCUGUUUACAAGACCUAAUAAAGUCUUCUUUCCAAAGGC